GCAUGGGUGAAUUCUGCAUUAGCGUUGGCAGUGGCUAAUGGAGUCAGACACCAUGCGAGAAGAUCGCGUCUGCCUGGGAUGUUCCUACCGGUGUGCUCUAUGUGAGGCAGCAUGGCCACAUCCGAGGCAGAUACAAAG
Varanus komodoensis (Komodo dragon) is the source of this 138-nucleotide small nucleolar RNA. NCBI's taxonomy places the organism in Eukaryota, Metazoa, Chordata, Lepidosauria, Squamata, Varanidae. The record is from Ensembl.